RNAcentral lists this microRNA (21 nucleotides) under Ectocarpus siliculosus. RNAcentral describes it as "esi-miR3469b-3p". Lineage: Eukaryota; Phaeophyceae; Ectocarpales; Ectocarpaceae. The record is from miRBase by way of RNAcentral.
UUCACAUAUCCACCCCAGAGG